UAGUGAAUCAUCGAAUCUUUGAACGCACCUUGCGCUCCUUGGUAUUCCGAGGAGCAUGCCUGUUUGAGUGUCUUGAAGUCAUCAACCCCGAACCGUUUUUGUGCGGGCGGGUUUGGAUCUUGGGGGAUGCUGCCGUGAGGCUGCUCCCCUCAAAUGCGUCGGUUGGACCUGUGGGUCGAACUCGACUGGGCGUUGUACCAUCCUCGCUCUCCCCGAGUCGUUCCCCUCCCGAGUCCUCCUGUGACUGGCCUGUGGAGUGGCAGUCAAAACUGAACUUUGAAGUCUGACCUCAAAUCAGGUAGGACUACCCGCUGAACUUAA
Molecule: unclassified non-coding RNA, 321 nt
Filed under: uncultured Trechisporales
Lineage: Eukaryota; Fungi; Basidiomycota; Agaricomycetes; Trechisporales
Description: sequence contains ITS1
Rfam family: 5.8S ribosomal RNA (bases 1-73)
Source: RNAcentral